RNAcentral lists this ribosomal RNA (1692 nucleotides) under Pasteurella multocida. RNAcentral's name for it is "partial 23S ribosomal RNA". It matches the Rfam family "Bacterial large subunit ribosomal RNA", at positions 1249 to 2925 of the family's 2925-position model. Lineage: Bacteria; Pseudomonadati; Pseudomonadota; Gammaproteobacteria; Pasteurellales; Pasteurellaceae. The record is from RNAcentral.
GAUGAAGGUGGCUCGAGAGGGUUGCUGGACGUAUCACAAGUGCGAAUGCUGACAUAAGUAACGAUAAAACGAGUGAAAAACUCGUUCGCCGGAAGACCAAGGGUUCCUGUCCAACGUUAAUCGGGGCAGGGUGAGUCGGCCCCUAAGGCGAGGCUGAAAAGCGUAGUCGAUGGGAAACGGGUUAAUAUUCCCGUACUUGGAUAAACUGCGAUGUGGGGACGGAGAAGGUUAGGUUAGCAGACUGUUGGAUGUCUGUUUAAGGUGGUAGGUGGAAGACUUAGGCAAAUCCGGGUCUUUAUAAACACUGAGAGCUGAUGACGAGGUCUUAAGGGACUGAAGUAACUGAUACCCUGCUUCCAGGAAAAGCCACUAAGCUUCAGGUUUAUCUAAACCGUACUGAAAACCGACACAGGUGGUCAGGUAGAGAAUACUCAGGCGCUUGAGAGAACUCGGGUGAAGGAACUAGGCAAAAUAGCACCGUAACUUCGGGAGAAGGUGCGCUUACAGUAAUUGUAGUCCCUUGCGGAUGAAGGUGAAGUAAGUCGAAGAUACCAGCUGGCUGCAACUGUUUAUUAAAAACACAGCACUCUGCAAACACGAAAGUGGACGUAUAGGGUGUGAUGCCUGCCCGGUGCUGGAAGGUUAAUUGAUGGUGUUAUCGAAAGAGAAGCUCCUGAUCGAAGCCCCAGUAAACGGCGGCCGUAACUAUAACGGUCCUAAGGUAGCGAAAUUCCUUGUCGGGUAAGUUCCGACCUGCACGAAUGGCAUAAUGAUGGCCAGGCUGUCUCCACCCGAGACUCAGUGAAAUUGAAAUCGCCGUGAAGAUGCGGUGUACCCGCGGCUAGACGGAAAGACCCCGUGAACCUUUACUAUAGCUUGACACUGAACAUUGAAUUUUGAUGUGUAGGAUAGGUGGGAGCCUUUGAAGCAGUGACGCCAGUCAUUGUGGAGGCGACCUUGAAAUACCACCCUUUAACGUUUGAUGUUCUAACGAAGUGCCUGAAACGGGUACUCGGACAGUGUCUGGUGGGUAGUUUGACUGGGGCGGUCUCCUCCCAAAGCGUAACGGAGGAGCACGAAGGUUUGCUAAUGACGGUCGGACAUCGUCAGGUUAGUGCAAUGGUAUAAGCAAGCUUAACUGCGAGACAGACAAGUCGAGCAGGUGCGAAAGCAGGUCAUAGUGAUCCGGUGGUUCUGAAUGGAAGGGCCAUCGCUCAACGGAUAAAAGGUACUCCGGGGAUAACAGGCUGAUACCGCCCAAGAGUUCAUAUCGACGGCGGUGUUUGGCACCUCGAUGUCGGCUCAUCACAUCCUGGGGCUGAAGUAGGUCCCAAGGGUAUGGCUGUUCGCCAUUUAAAGUGGUACGCGAGCUGGGUUUAGAACGUCGUGAGACAGUUCGGUCCCUAUCUGCCGUGGGCGUUGGAUGAUUGAUUGGGGCUGCUCCUAGUACGAGAGGACCGGAGUGGACGCAUCACUGGUGUUCCAGUUGUCUCGCCAGAGGCAUUGCUGGGUAGCUAAAUGCGGAAGAGAUAAGUGCUGAAAGCAUCUAAGCACGAAACUUGCCAAGAGAUGAGUCAUCCCUGACUUUAAGUCAGUAAGGGUUGUUGUAGACUACGACGUAGAUAGGUUGGGUGUGUAAGUGUAGUGAUACAUUGAGCUAACCAAUACUAAUUGCCCGAGAGGCUUAACUAU